GGGAACUAAUUACAUUUUACUUGUUAGUUGAUGCGUACUGCCAUGGUGUUAACUUAUACCACAUUCGCAUGAUACCGGUAUGGAAUUCUGUUGCUCCAUUAACUGUUGGGGGUACUCCGAAUUUUCAGAACAGUAAUAGAAUCGAAUUAAAAACGGUCACAUGAGUGUUCUCUACUUUUGAGUAGGGGCAGCCAGAACAGUCGUGUGACCGUCACAACAGUCAUGUAACCAUUUUUGAUUCGAUUCUAUUACUGUUAUAAAAAUCUGGAGUAC
Molecule: non-coding RNA, 273 nt
Organism: Paramuricea clavata
Lineage: Eukaryota; Metazoa; Cnidaria; Anthozoa; Malacalcyonacea; Plexauridae
Source: the annotation of a GenBank genome assembly